This 216-nucleotide ribosomal RNA is filed under the name Glomeromycotina sp. RNAcentral describes it as "partial small subunit ribosomal RNA". The stretch from base 40 to 216 matches the Rfam family "Eukaryotic small subunit ribosomal RNA", at positions 686 to 864 of the family's 1831-position model. The record is from RNAcentral. Lineage: Eukaryota; Fungi; Glomeromycota.
GGGUCAUUAGGUUGGUCGUGCCACCGGUACGUACUGGUCUCACUGAUUCCUCCUUCCUGAAGAACCGUAAUGCCAUUAAUUUGGUUUUGCGGGGAAACAGGACUGUUACUUUGAAAAAAUUAGAGUGUUUAAAGCAAGCUAACGCUUGAAUACAUUAGCAUGGAUUAAUGAAAUAGGACGAUCGAUCCUAUUUUGUUGGUUUCUAGGAUUGACGUA